This 67-nucleotide transfer RNA is filed under the name Encyrtus rhodococcusiae. RNAcentral's name for it is "tRNA-Asp". The record is from RNAcentral. Lineage: Eukaryota; Metazoa; Arthropoda; Insecta; Hymenoptera; Encyrtidae.
AAAAAAUUAGUUAAGUUUAUAAUAUAAAUAUGUCAUAUUUAAGUAAUUAGUAUAAUAAUAUUUUUUG